This is a long non-coding RNA of Mugil cephalus (flathead mullet), 724 nucleotides long. RefSeq lists it as uncharacterized. The record is from RefSeq and is a predicted model, not a curated record. The transcript is spliced from 2 exons. Lineage: Eukaryota; Metazoa; Chordata; Actinopteri; Mugiliformes; Mugilidae.
UUGAUGAAAGGGUUGUUGCCAUCGAUGGACACCACGUACUGCUCCAGCACUGCUCCAUACGCCACUGUCAGCAGGAGAGAAGACAAAUGAGAGGCAGGUUUUACAGAAGAAACAAAAACAUGCUACACUGGAGACGAAAACCCAACUGAUGGAGGCCACUUCACAGUCAUACAUCACAAAUAAACGAGAACCAUAGCAAAAAUAUUUAACGAUGCUGGAAUCUAUGACUUUAUUGGAAACCACGUGAAGGCAGCAUUCAGUCCUGCUCUGGAAAAUAAGCGCAGACAGGCUCUUAAUUUGUUAAACUGUGAGUCAGCUGGGAGCCUUUAUUGCGUUUCAUCCAUACAACGGUUUCCUUUUUCAAAGCUUGAUUCGUAAACCACACAUAGCUCAGGCUUUAUGGCUGCUUGAUUAAAUGAUACUUCACAGAUAUAUAGUAAUUUAUUGGGGCCUACACUCAGCGUACAAACACUCUUCUGAUACUUCGAAAGCCAGAAAGCACAAAAAUGUGAACAUUCACAACAGAACCAGUUUAACUUUUGUGGCCAAGGCAUCCAUGUUCAGUCUCUGUGGUCAGAAGACUGUUGACUCACUCAUUCUUGAGGUCUCCAGCAGUCUGCACGGCUAAAACAGAAAACAUACUCUCAGCCCGUUUUCAUCGGGAACUGUAGCUGAAACACUGUAAAUAAAGAUUUCUGGUUGUCUGACCUAUUCUUAGAAUUUA